GAAGGAGGGGCGGUCCCCGUCUGACUCAAGAGAGGCUACAUAAGGAACUGCUGGGCGCGUGGUGCGUUCUUUUGCGUCGGAACUUGAGAUCGUUCGUGUGUGGCGGGAACAAUGGCUGUCGGUGUAACGGAGCUGUUACGUGAAGAUGCUAAGCAUCCUUGGGGAUGAUGAAUACUAAUGACGCUAUGGAUGUCACUGAUUAGCAGCUUCACUUUGAAUGAGAGGUCGCUGUCUGCCCAUUGUAAGAGGCCAGUGUCUGUGUCGUUCCCAAGCCGUAACCAUUUCUGGCUAGUGCUACAAGAUUUACUUGUCUUUUGUAUGGAAAACUGGUGGUCAGGAAAAGCUCUUCAUUUUAUGGACAUGGAAAGAAAACGUACAGAUCAAGAUGGAUUAUAUUUAUUCUUAAUUUUGCAAAUAGAUUCUGAACCAACAUAAAAUCUAGAUUAAUGUGUCCAUAGGCUUCAAGCCUAUGGUUUCUUUUUAAUCGUGUCACUGCCCUAGAGAGUCACAACCUAUUAACCAGUAGAUUACUUUUUAGAUCUAUUUCUAGGAUUACAUAGCAAAUGAAGUAUUUGUAAUAGAAAUUUUCAUUAACUAGCCUUAUAAUUAAAUUAUUCUGAAUGAUUGUCUUA
Molecule: long non-coding RNA, 632 nt
Organism: Rhinolophus ferrumequinum (greater horseshoe bat)
Lineage: Eukaryota; Metazoa; Chordata; Mammalia; Chiroptera; Rhinolophidae
Exons: 5
Source: RefSeq, a predicted model, not a curated record